CAUGCAAGUCGAACGAGAUCUUCGGAUCUAGUGGCGCACGGGUGAGUAACGCGUGGGAACCUACCUUUCAGUUCGGAAUAACAGUUGGAAACGACUGCUAAUACCGUAUAAGCCCUCCGGGGGAAAGGUCAGCCGCUGAAAGAGGGGCCCGCGUCUGAUUAGCUUGUUGGUAGGGUAAAAGCCUACCAAGGCUACGAUCAGUAGCUGGUCUGAGAGGAUGAUCAGCCACACUGGGACUGAGACACGGCCCAGACUCCUACGGGAGGCAGCAGUCGGGAAUAUUGGACAAUGGAGGAAACUCUGAUCCAGCAAUGCCGCGUGUGUGAUGAAGGCCCUAGGGUUGUAAAGCACUUUCAACGGUGAAGAUAAUGACGGUAGCCGUAGAAGAAGCCCCGGCUAACUUCGUGCCAGCAGCCGCGGUAAUACGAAGGGGGCGAGCGUUGUUCGGAAUUAUUGGGCGUAAAGGGCGCGCAGGCGGUUUGGAUAGUUAGACGUGAAAGCCCUGGGCUUAACCUAGGAACUGCGUUUUAAUACUGCCAGACUAGAGAACUAGAGAGGAUAGCGGAACUCCCAGUGUAGAGGUGAAAUUCGUAGAUAUUG
RNAcentral lists this ribosomal RNA (600 nucleotides) under uncultured Alphaproteobacteria bacterium. Its description in RNAcentral is "bacterial SSU rRNA". It matches the Rfam family "Bacterial small subunit ribosomal RNA", at positions 54 to 699 of the family's 1533-position model. Lineage: Bacteria; Pseudomonadati; Pseudomonadota; Alphaproteobacteria. The record is from RNAcentral.